UGAGCGUCUUAUUUUAAUAAGUCAAAACUUUCAACAACGGAUCUCUUGGUUCUGGCAUCGAUGAAGAACGCAGCGAAAUGCGAUAAGUAAUGUGAAUUGCAGAAUUCAGUGAAUCAUCGAAUCUUUGAACGCACAUUGCGCCCAUUAGUAUUCUAGUGG
RNAcentral lists this ribosomal RNA (159 nucleotides) under Bartalinia sp. SYP-F-7162. Its description in RNAcentral is "5.8S ribosomal RNA". The stretch from base 26 to 159 matches the Rfam family "5.8S ribosomal RNA", at positions 1 to 134 of the family's 154-position model. Rfam says of the family: 5.8S ribosomal RNA (5.8S rRNA) is a component of the large subunit of the eukaryotic ribosome. It is transcribed by RNA polymerase I as part of the 45S precursor that also contains 18S and 28S rRNA. Functionally, it is thought that 5.8S rRNA may be involved in ribosome translocation. Lineage: Eukaryota; Fungi; Ascomycota; Sordariomycetes; Amphisphaeriales; Sporocadaceae. The record is from RNAcentral.